UACGUAGGGUGCAAGCGUUAUCCGGAAUUAUUGGGCGUAAAGAGCUCGUAGGCGGUUUGUCGCGUCUGCUGUGAAAACUGGGGGGCUCAACCCCCCAGCCUGCAGUGGGUACGGGGCAGACUAGAGUGCGGUAGGGGAGAUUGGAAUUCCUGGUGUAGCGGUGGAAUGCGCAGAUAUCAGGAGGAACACCGAUGGCGAAGGCAGAUCUCUGGGCCGUAACUGACGCUGAGGAGCGAAAGCAUGGGGAGCGAACAGG
RNAcentral lists this ribosomal RNA (256 nucleotides) under uncultured bacterium. RNAcentral's name for it is "partial 16S ribosomal RNA". It matches the Rfam family "Bacterial small subunit ribosomal RNA", at positions 524 to 776 of the family's 1533-position model. The record is from RNAcentral.